Molecule: long non-coding RNA, 508 nt
Filed under: Mytilus galloprovincialis (Mediterranean mussel)
Lineage: Eukaryota; Metazoa; Mollusca; Bivalvia; Mytilida; Mytilidae
Source: RNAcentral
GUUUGAAUUACCCGAUAUAUAGCCAUUAACAUGUUUGAUGAUGGCACAGAUAUUUCAUGUAUUUGUCCACCACACAGCAAAGAAACAACAGCGAAAAAACACAAUUACCCACGAGACAAACUUACUAGUGUAAAGUAAGCCGUCGAUAACAGUCGGUGCUGAUAUUCACGAGUACAUCAAUUUUCGAAAGAUAAUUAAAGGCAAAUGUGUGAUCCUUGAAUUUUUGUGUUCGUAAAAAAGGCGAAGAAAUAUUUACAUACAUGACAGUGUAAACAAAAUCUAUAAGACUUAGUAUUUAUUUUUGUCACACUUCAGUAUAUUGGACUUCCAAACUGUUCCCUUUGUUUUGAAGGUAGUGAAGUCAGCAACUGUAGUUUCAUUUUGUUCGUUUUCUAACGGGCUCUGACAUUUGCCAAACUGAAUAAAAUCAUUACAGCUGAUUUCUUAUACCUGCAAAGUAAAACUUUGGUUGACUUGCUUGCUUUGUUUGUAAAGUUGUUUAUAGAAG